This 503-nucleotide ribosomal RNA is filed under the name uncultured bacterium. RNAcentral's name for it is "bacterial SSU rRNA". It matches the Rfam family "Bacterial small subunit ribosomal RNA", at positions 21 to 518 of the family's 1533-position model. The record is from RNAcentral.
GGCUCAGGAUGAACGCUGGCGGCGUGCCUAAUACAUGCAAGUCGAACGAGAGUGCUUGCACUCUAGUGGCGAACGGGUGAGUAACACGUAGGUAACCUGCCUUACAGUUGGGAUACCCUGGCGAAAGCUAGGCUAAUACCGAAUAAUUGGAUUGGAGGCAUCUCCGAUCUCUAAAAGGGGCCUUUAAAGCCUCGCUGAAUGAUGGACCUGCGGCGCAUUAGCUAGUUGGUGAGAUAACAGCCCACCAAGGCGAGGAUGCGUAGCCGACCUGAGAGGGUGAACGGCCACACUGGAACUGAGACACGGUCCAGACUCCUACGGGAGGCAGCAGUAGGGAGUUUUCGGCAAUGAGGGCAACCCUGACCGAGCAACGCCGCGUGAAUGAUGAAAGGUCUUCGGAUUGUAAAGUUCUGUUAUAAGGGAAAAAUGAUAUGGUGAGGAAAUGCUCCAUAUUUGAUGGUACCUUAUUAGAAAGCCACGGCUAACUACGUGCCAGCAGCAGC